Ceratotherium simum simum (southern white rhinoceros) is the source of this 117-nucleotide non-coding RNA. NCBI's taxonomy places the organism in Eukaryota, Metazoa, Chordata, Mammalia, Perissodactyla, Rhinocerotidae. The record is from RefSeq and is a predicted model, not a curated record.
UGUCUGUCAAUGGAUGGAUGGAUAAAGAAAAUGUGGUAUUUCCAUACGAUGGAUUAUUAUUCAGUCAUAGAAGGGAAUGAAGCACUGAUACAUGAUACAACAUGGGUGAACCUUCAA